Molecule: transfer RNA, 73 nt
Filed under: Streptomyces phage Bmoc
Lineage: Duplodnaviria; Heunggongvirae; Uroviricota; Caudoviricetes; Stanwilliamsviridae
Description: tRNA-Arg
Rfam family: tRNA
About the family: Transfer RNA (tRNA) molecules are approximately 80 nucleotides in length. Their secondary structure includes four short double-helical elements and three loops (D, anti-codon, and T loops).
Source: RNAcentral
GUCCCUAUAGUUUAGAGGAUAGAACGUCACUCUCCUAAAGUGAAGACGCAGGUUCGAGUCCUGCUGGGGAUAC